CGUAUGGUGUUUAGCUUCGGGCUGAAUAGCGAUACGGCCUUAUGAUGAGGU
Molecule: non-coding RNA, 51 nt
Organism: Alteromonas sp. RW2A1
Lineage: Bacteria; Pseudomonadati; Pseudomonadota; Gammaproteobacteria; Alteromonadales; Alteromonadaceae
Source: Rfam